UCGAGCGGUAAGGCCCUUCGGGGUACACGAGCGGCGAACGGGUGAGUAACACGUGGGUGAUCUGCCUCGCACUUCGGGAUAAGCCUGGGAAACUGGGUCUAAUACCGGAUAUGACCUUUCAGUGCAUGCUGUUGGGUGGAAAGAUUUAUCGGUGCGAGAUGGGCCCGCGGCCUAUCAGCUUGUUGGCGGGGUAACGGCCCACCAAGGCGACGACGGGUAGCCGACCUGAGAGGGUGACCGGCCACACUGGGACUGAGACACGGCCCAGACUCCUACGGGAGGCAGCAGUGGGGAAUAUUGCACAAUGGGCGAAAGCCUGAUGCAGCGACGCCGCGUGAGGGAUGACGGCCUUCGGGUUGUAAACCUCUUUCGACAGGGACGAAGCGCAAGUGACGGUACCUGUAGAAGAAGCACCGGCCAACUACGUGCCAGCAGCCGCGGUAAUACGUAGGGUGCGAGCGUUGUCCGGAAUUACUGGGCGUAAAGAGCUUGUAGGCGGUUUGUCGCGUCGUCCGUGAAAACUUGGGGCUCAACCCCAAGCUUGCGGGCGAUACGGGCAGACUUGAGUACUUCAGGGGAGACUGGAAUUCCUGGUGUAGCGGUGAAAUGCGCAGAUAUCAGGAGGAACACCGGUGGCGAAGGCGGGUCUCUGGGAAGUAACUGACGCUGAGAAGCGAAAGCGUGGGUAGCGAACAGGAUUAGAUACCCUGGUAGUCCACGCCGUAAACGGUGGGUACUAGGUGUG
Molecule: ribosomal RNA, 745 nt
Filed under: Nocardia sp.
Lineage: Bacteria; Bacillati; Actinomycetota; Actinomycetes; Mycobacteriales; Nocardiaceae
Description: bacterial SSU rRNA
Rfam family: Bacterial small subunit ribosomal RNA
Source: RNAcentral